This 450-nucleotide ribosomal RNA is filed under the name uncultured bacterium. RNAcentral's name for it is "partial 16S ribosomal RNA". It matches the Rfam family "Bacterial small subunit ribosomal RNA", at positions 354 to 796 of the family's 1533-position model. The record is from RNAcentral.
GUGGGGAAUAUUCCGCAAUGGACGAAAGUCUGACGGAGCAACGCCGCGUGAGUGAUGAAGGUUUUCGGACUGUAAAGCUCUGUUGUUUGGGACGAAAGUGCCUGUUGCGAACAGUUACGGGUAUUGACGGUACUAAACGAGGAAGCCACGGCUAACUACGUGCCAGCAGCCGCGGUAAUACGUAGGUGGCAAGCGUUGUCCGGAAUUAUUGGGCGUAAAGAGCAUGUAGGCGGGAAUCUAAGUCUGUUGUUAAAAUGCGGGGCUCAACCCCGUAUUGCGAUGGAAACUGAAUUUCUUGAGUGCAGGAGAGGAAAGGGGAAUUCCCAGUGUAGCGGUGAAAUGCGUAGAUAUUGGGAGGAACACCAGUGGCGAAGGCGCCUUUCUGGACUGUGUCUGACGCUGAGAUGCGAAAGCCAGGGUAGCGAACGGGAUUAGAAACCCUGGUAGUCC